Long non-coding RNA from Xiphophorus couchianus (Monterrey platyfish), 861 nucleotides. RefSeq lists it as uncharacterized. NCBI's taxonomy places the organism in Eukaryota, Metazoa, Chordata, Actinopteri, Cyprinodontiformes, Poeciliidae. The record is from RefSeq and is a predicted model, not a curated record. The transcript has 3 exons.
GGUGUUCAUAGUAGGCAACAAUAACAGGACGUCCUUAAAGUUAGCCAUGAAAUACCACACGGUAAUCACAGGCUUUUGUUUGACAUUUAUGAUCACAAGACUUUCAGGUGCUUCACCCAGUGACGAAGUCCAUCAGACUCCAUCUGACUUGUACAAAAAACUGGAGCAAACAGCAGAAAUCGAUUGCUCGCACAAUAUCAACAACUACGAUCGGAUCCUGUGGUACAAACGGACGGCGGGCAGGCAGAUGGAGUUUCUAGGAUACAUGCUAGCAAACAUCGGCUAUCCGGAGGAGGGAGCGAAGGUAAAGAUCGACGGGAACGCCAACAAGGGCCAGACCUGCACGCUGACGAUGGACAGGCUCAACAUGAACAGCAGUGCAGUUUACUUCUGCGCUGCCAGUUACCACAGUGCUACAUGCAAAAAGUCCUCAGGGCAAAAACCUCGAGCUUUUGUUUCCCCAUCUCUCAGGUCCAUGCACCUGUCGUCUCUAACCUGUUUAUCAAGGUUUGGAUCUUUCUGUUGAGACACUGAUGUAAAUGAGGGAGGUGAAAACAUGCUGCGGUUUGAAUUUCUGGUAGAGGAGGAACCUCGUAGACACCACCCAUGUGUUGGUGUCUACAUGUGGGUGGUGAUUAAGGAAGAAAUAGCUCAAAAGGGAAGUUUGGGGACUCUUUUUCAGUCAUAUAGGAACAAAAUGAUCACGGUUCUCUUUUGUAUUACUUUGAGCGCAGCAGUGUCAGGUCUACUUCAUGAGAAAGUCCACCAGAAUCCGCCUGACAUUCACAGGCGUCCCGGAGAAUCAUCCAAAAUCCGCUGCUCGCACGCAAUCGACAACUAUGAUGAAAUUCUUUGGUACAA